GUUGGUGUUUAGCUAGAGAAAAUUAUCACAUUCCAGCUUUUAUUCAUCCCACAACAGUAAAAUGGACAAUUUAGAGACAUGUCCAGGUUUAAACAACAUGUACAGCUGAUUGUCAUCUGUAAAGCAAUGAUAAUAGACACUUUAAAAUGUUCUUAAGACAUCCUAGGGGGAUCAGAGGUAGAGAAAUAACAGAGGACCCUGUACAGAACUCUGAGGGACACCACAAGACACAGCCCUGGCUGACAAAAUAUGUUUACCACCAGUGAUCAAAACUUCAAAAUCAGUCUAAGUUGGUGCCAGAGAUUCCACUGUCUGAGCUGCUGAAUUUGAUAUCAUGUGCUCUCAUAAUAUCACAGGCUGCACUGAGGUUCAGUAGGACAAGUAUAGAACUUGUCCCUGCAUCAACAGAUUAUUUGUGAUCUUGAGUAAAGCAGUGAACAACCUUUAAAAAAGACAUCGAGCCAAGAGUGUGGUGAAUUUAGGCCAUGAGGUUAACAGUGCUGUCAUAUGUCCUUCCUGAAAACUAACCUAGAUCAAGCUGCACGUGUGAAAGCAAACAGGCAGAUGUUCUCCGAUCAACCCUCUUGUGUAAUUUUAGAUAAAGUCUAAUAGAGCUCCUGCUAAAAUGUGGCAGGAAAUCUUGAUUGAAACCGUCCGCUCUGAUGAGGUCAGUAUCAUAAACUUGAUUGUGACCCGAUAGAUAGUGGUCACAGUUUGAUUUCUGAUAAUGAACUCUGGUUUCACAGUGUCACAUGCCCUCUGCUUUCUUUUAUGUGUUCUCAUUUUCAAUCAUCUGACUGUUCUUUUGUAUCUGGGUUUCUCUCCACGUGUUUUUAAAGUGUUUUAUGGUUUGACCUGGCAGCUGAACAAGCUUCAGACAGGGGGAAAUAAAGUUAAUGUCAAUGCUAAGUGGAUGAACUCGGGACAGAGGUGAAUUUAUUGAGGUCAAGAUUUAACCCAAUACAGCCAUAAAACAAUCAACAUAGUGAUUGAGAAAGACAAUUUACAGUAGUCCAGAAAUCAUCAGUGUGUUUGGAAAAAUCCAACAUUAAUUUCUGCAGGAGUCCAGACUGUCAAGUGAUUAUUUUUAAAAUCCCUAAUUCACUUUUUCAAAAGUUGAUUGCAAUUGAUUAAACUUUGAAUUGCAAAAUUCUAUUAUUAUAUACACAGCAAAGCAAAUUCACACAAUUGUCUUUAUUUGGGAAUCAAAUUAAUGUAAUGAAAUGAAGUGUACACUCUAGAGCAGACUGUGCAAAUCCAAUAUCAUAUUCAUCUGUUUGUUUAAAUUAGUUUAUAAUCUCCUGAAUAUACAAAAUUUUGAAGUUACUUAAAAAAUGAUAUCCAUCCACACAUUAAACUCCCACACACAGUAAAUAAUAAAAGCCUGACAUUAAAAAAAAAUGUUUUAAAAUCAACCCGUGGUACAGAACAUGACUUGGAGUACAGACAGUGAGCUGUGACAGUCCAACACUUGGUUAGAAGUUAAAUAUGGUCAACUCUUUUGAAAUUUCAGUCCAAAUCAGAGCCCUUUCUGUAAAGUCUGAGCUAUCUUUAUUUCAAUCCCAUUCAAGAAGGGGUCCCAUGAUUUAUAAAACACUGAAGGCUUGUCCUUAGUAAGUCCCUGCCUCUAAAAGGAUGAGCUCCAUUAUACUUUGUAGCUAAAGUGACAGCAGUGGAGGUUUGUCAGAAAUCCAGUACUUAUUAACUUAUUAGAGAAACCCAUUUCCAAUAGUAACACUAUUCUUAUUUACACCAUACUGUAAAAAAAAUAGUUACCCAUAUGCACACUAAAUUCCUAAGCAACAACAUCCACACAUGUGCCAGUGUCAGUGAGUAAGAAAAAACAAUAAUGUUAGUUUCAGUUUGACUUAUAUUUGAAUGCAAUAGCAUUUGAUGGUUAUUCAAACAGAACAUAAAUAACUUUCUCCCCUGCUGAGUGAUAAAUCAUCUGAUAAUAGCCUGAACAAAACGUGAGUACUGGUGUCACAAUUCUUAAAAUGGUACAUCAUGGUGACUUACCAUAAGGACUGUCUGUGUUGACAGCAGGAUAUUUCCCAGAAAUCAACUCCAAAACAUGUUAUUGCACCAUUUGGAACAUCAGCCCACUUUUCCUUAACCUUAUUUGUAAGAUUGAACCCAUUAGGUGUCCUUGAUUUUCAUCCAAAGCCAAGUACUGAAUCAACACAGAAUCACCCAGAGAACUCUGAUCUGCCCUGACUCUGUCCAGACUACUGGAAAUGUCUUAAUUUAAUGUAUGUUUCAGUAUCUGAACCAUAAACUGUAUAUACAAUCUAUGAUCUGAACCUUGAAAAAUGAAACAUUCAACAAUUAUAAGGUAAAAGUACAUUUGACCUCUGAGACAAUGGUGUAAAUGACAAACAUACACAGAAAAUACUCCUAAUAAGUAACACUUAAGGACUAACUGAUUUUAAGUAAAUUUGGUGCUCUUCAUGAAAACACUUUUAGUAAAUAACUUGUCCCCAUAAGACACGUCUCAUUUUGGGUUAUUUCUCAACUCAUUGUGUCAAUGUGUACUUUAAUGUCCCCCUUUACCUGGAACUUUUUAUCUCCAGCAAAUAAAGUUGCAACACGGGUCAGUCCUUCACCGAGAAGUCAGCGUCUCAGCAUUGUCUUAAUAUGGUCUUUCCAUCUCCAUUGUCUUAAUAUGGGAUCCCCAUCCGAGCCGUAAACUGACCUCCAGUUACCUCUGCGACCCUGAACGCAGCACAGC
Molecule: long non-coding RNA, 2731 nt
Filed under: Xyrichtys novacula (pearly razorfish)
Lineage: Eukaryota; Metazoa; Chordata; Actinopteri; Labriformes; Labridae
Source: RNAcentral